Molecule: ribosomal RNA, 292 nt
Filed under: uncultured bacterium
Lineage: Bacteria
Description: partial 16S ribosomal RNA
Rfam family: Bacterial small subunit ribosomal RNA
Source: RNAcentral
GUGCCAGCAGCCGCGGUAAUACGUAGGGGGCGAGCGUUGUCCGGAAUCAUUGGGCGUAAAGCGCGUGUAGGCGGCUCAGUCAGUCUGGUGUGAAACCUUGGGGCUCAACCCCAAGCCUGCACUGGAUACUGCUGAGCUUGAGUCCGGGAGGGGAGAGCGGAAUUCCUAGUGUAGCGGUGAAAUGCGCAGAUAUUAGGAAGAACACCGGUGGCGAAGGCGGCUCUCUGGAACGGUACUGACGCUGAGACGCGAAAGCGUGGGGAGCGAACAGGAUUAGAUACCCUGGUAGUCC